UUUGCGCAACUCAGCAUAUGCGCUCUUAGGGCCUUCCCUUGGAUAAUUUCCCCAGUAUUUAAUAUAUCGGAACCAUUUAAUUUCCUCAGUAUUUUGCUCAACUACGUCACUCUCGGCAAAAGGCCUGAAACCGUAGCGCCCGCCAGAAGCUGUCCACCGCCAUACCACCUCGGCGACCUUGUCUUCAUCAAAUUCAUCAUCAAUCAAACUCACAACACCGAAAAAUGGUAAAUACAGUAAAGAAUUUGCUGCUGCGCUUGUGAUGAAUAAUAGACUGGCUGAUAACUGAAGAAGAAGAAAUGGGGCAUAGUUCGAAGAAAAAGAAGAAGCGCGGAGGCGCCCGAAGGGCUCCAUCAAAGGAUCACAAUUCUCUUGCUGCUGAUAAUUCCGAGCUUAUUGGUGAAGAAAUCACCGCAUUGUGUGCUAUAUUUCAAGAUGAGUGUGAAGUUGUUUCCGGAUCACUACCACAAAUUCAGAUUAAGCUCAGGCCAUACUCAAAGGAUACAGGAUAUGAUGAAUCAGAUAUUUCUGCUCUUCUUUCUGUAAGGUUUUUAUCUGGCUACCCCAACAAAUGCCCAAAGUUGCGUAUAAUUCCUGAGAAAGGAUUAUCAGUGGUAGAUGCGGACAAUCUUCUGUCCUUGCUUCAUGAUCAAGCAAAUUCUAAUGCUCGUGAAGGGCGAGUAAUGAUUUACAAUUUGGUGGAGGCUGCUCAAGAAUUUUUGUCUGAAGUUGUUCCUCAAGCAGAAUCACGUGAAUCUGCUAUAUCCCAAGCCACGGACAGGAGUACCUUGCUAUCUCGCAAGGAUUUGGCAGUUUCCAGAAUCAUGAUGUACUCUUGUAAAGGACCUUUUGUAUAUGGUUAUAUAGAUCUUUUUAGUGGUUGUGGGGAAUCAUGGCAUUGGAGCCUGGGAAUGGAACAAAACACUGGUCUAAAAACUAAAGUAUCUUCUAAUACCUUCGAGCAUUCCAAAGUUGGACAUCAGAAUGCAGAUAACAAAAUUGGGAAGAAGUCAGUGGAACUUCAGGGUGCUAAGCAAGAAUUUGCGCAAAACCCUGCAUUGAAACUAGUCACUGUUAAAGAGGAGAGUGAGGAUGAGAUCAAGAGUACUGAUUCAAGUACAACUCUAUCUUGUGGAACAGUCAAAAGUGGUAGUGUUGGUAACAUAAAGGAUAUUUUUGUGGAGGAGAAUCUAGCAGAAACAACUGAUGUAGAUCGAUUAAUAGAACCUUCAGAAUCAGUGUCUUCAAAAUCUGUUAUCAAUCACCAAUUAUCUCAGACUAUGAGAACAGAUUUAAUUAUGGUUCACCUACUUCGCCUUGUUUGCGCACCCAAAGGGCCUCUAGGUGAUGCUUUGCUGCAAAUCACAUCAGAGCUGUACAACCUAGGGAUCGUAUCUGAGCAUGUGCGUGAUCUGACAAUUGAACCAUCUCCAGUUUUUGAGAAGGCUUUUAAUCAUGUUUUCGCUCAGCAUAGGGUCUCAUCAAAGAUCUCUCAGUUUUGGAGAACUGCUUCUGAUUUUGAAGGACAGAAUUCUUCAUCCAUGUCAAGUUCCCGUUAUCUAAGUGAUUUUGAGGAACUCCAGCCCCUUGGUCAUGGAGGAUUUGGUCAUGUUGUGCUGUGUAAAAAUAAGAUAGAUGGCAGGCAAUAUGCUGUCAAGAAAAUACGCUUGAAGGACAAGAGCCUGCCUAUAAAUGAUCGCAUAUUGAGGGAAGUUGCUACUCUGUCACGGUUGCAGCAUCAACAUGUUGUGCGUUACUACCAGGCAUGGUUUGAAACAGGAAUUGCUGGUUCUUUUGGUGAUGCAACCCAGGGCUCAAAAGCCACCAUGAGCUCCACUUUCAGCUACAUGGAUGGAAGCUCAUCUGAUAUUUUUGGGCUGGAAACUAAGCUUGAUUCGACUUACUUGUACAUUCAAAUGGAAUACUGCCCCAGGACACUGCGCCAAAUGUUCGAAUCGUAUAAUCAAUUUGAUAAGGAGCUUGCCUGGCAUCUGUUUCGCCAAAUUGUUGAAGGCCUGGCACACAUACAUGGCCAAGGAAUAAUUCAUCGUGACUUGACUCCUAAUAACAUCUUUUUUGAUGCUCGCAAUGACAUUAAAAUUGGAGAUUUUGGUCUUGCCAAGUUCUUGAAGUUGGAGCAAGUGGAGCAGGAUGUUGAUGCCACAGAAACAGUUGGAGUUUCAGUUGAUGGUACUGGCCAAGUUGGCACAUAUUUCUACACUGCACCUGAAAUAGAGCAAGGGUGGCCAAAGAUAAAUGAGAAGGCUGACAUGUAUAGUCUAGGAGUUGUAUUUUUCGAGCUCUGGCGCCCUUUUGACACAGCAAUGGAAAGGCACAUUGUCCUUUCUGAUUUGAAACAGAAGGGAGAGCUUCCUUCUGCUUGGCUAGCUGAUUUCCCAGAACAGGCGUCUUUGUUAAGACUUCUGAUGUCACCAAGUCCAUCUGAACGUCCGUCAGCUACAGAACUUCUUCAACACGCUUUUCCUCCCCGAAUGGAAUAUGAGCUUUUGGAUAAUAUUCUCCGAACAAUUCAUACCUCUGAAGACACUGGUGUGUAUGACAAAAUUGUAAAUGCUAUUUUUGAUGAGGAGCUUUUGAGCACAAAGGAACAUGAGAGUGUUGAGAGAUUGAAAUUGCUUGGAGGUGAUAUCUCAUCUGUCCUAUUUUCGGAUGUUGAUACCAGUAACCGUGAUCAUGUAUUGGAGGUGGCUGCUGGAGUGUUUAGACAACAUUGUGCAAAGCAUCUAGAGGUUAUACCAAUGCACAUAUUGGCUGAUUCUCGACAGCUAAAUAGGAAUACUGUGAAACUUUUGACCAAUGGAGGAGACAUGGUUGAGCUUUGUCAUGAGCUUCGCUUACCUUUUGCCAACUGGAUAAUUGCCAAUCAGAAAUCCUUCUUCAAACGGUAUGAAAUAUCGUAUGUAUAUCGAAGAGCAAUUGGUCAUUCACCGCCAAAUCGGUACCUUCAGGCGGACUUUGACAUUGUUGGAGGUGCGAUAGCAUUGACGGAGGCAGAGAUCAUUAAGGCCUCGAUGGACAUUAUUGGUCAGUUUUUUCAUUCAGAAUUAUGUGAUAUUCAUUUGAACCAUGGAGAUCUAUUAGAAGCAAUUUGGUCUUGGGCCGGAAUCGAGCCGGAGCAUAGACAGAAAGUGGCUGAGCUUCUCUCUCUAUUAGGAUCUUUGCGCCCUCAAUCUUCUGAAAGAAAGUCUAAAUGGGUGGUGAUAAGACGACAGCUUCAACAGGAACUUAAUCUUGCUGAAGCUGUUGUAAAUAGAUUGCAGACUGUUGGACUUAGAUUCUGUGGACUUGUAGAUCAGGCUCUUCCCAGGUUAAGAGGCGCCCUUCCUGCUGGUAAGUCCACAAGGAAGGCCCUCGAUGAGUUGUCAGAGCUUUAUAACUAUUUAAGGGUUUGGAGGCUUGAUAGACAUAUCUUUGUGGAUGCACUUAUGCCUCCAACUGAGAAUUAUCACAGAAAUAUUUUUUUUCAGAUAUAUAUGAGGAAGAGUCUUGGAUCUUUAGUGGAAGGAACCUUGCUUGCUGUUGGUGGUCGUUAUGAUUACUUGCUUCAUCAUACAGGCGAUUUUGAAUAUAAAUCAAAUCCUCCAGGUGCAGUUGGGACUAGUCUUGCUUUGGAGACAAUUUUGUCGCAUAGUACUAUGAUGGAUACGAAAAUUUAUAGGCAUGAUGUUGGUAUCGAGGUUCUUGUUUGCUCAAGAGGAGGAGGUGGUUUACUAGUAGAGCGCAUGGAACUAGUGGCUGAGCUAUGGCAGCAGAAUAUCAAGACUCAGUUCGUCCCCAUAUGUGAUCCAAGCCUCACAGAACAGUAUGAAUAUGCCAACGAGCAUGAUAUCAAAUGUCUUGUGAUCAUCACUGACAGUGGUGUAUCCCAAACAGAUUCAGUUAAGGUUCGGCAUCUUGAGCUGAAGAAGGAGAAGGAAGUUCCGAGAGAAGAACUUGUCAAGUUUCUCUCUGAGGCAAUGGCAACUCAAUUUAAAAACCCAUCCAUCUGGAACUAGAACAGAUUACUUGAACUCAUUGCUACCAGGUUUUUAAAGCCACUUCAUAUUGUUCGUAGUUCUUUCGUACAAAAAAGUUUGCAAGAUGUUUGCCAUUAUUUUAGAAACCUAAGUUCCUGCAGCAUAACAUUUCAAGCCAUGUGUUUGUUACUCCAUGUUGUUGCUGGGAAAGCUGUCUAUCAUAGGUUAAAAUAAGGGCAUGGAAAAGAGAGAAAAAGAAAAUAAAAAGAAAGAAGAAAUGGCCUUUCUGACAUGUUAGUUUACGUUUGAACAUCUAGUGAUUUCCCAAAUCCUAUUGGAGCUUUUGCUUGCUUUUUUACAAACUUUAAAGCGUUUCAGUUUCAAUAUCGUCACAUAACCUUUUUUUUUUGCACAAUAGAACUGAGAAUAGGAGCACACCUUCAUUAAUGCAUAUGAAUGAAAAAUUCAAUUGAACAGUCUUUCUGAAAGGAAUCGUAUUUAUUCUAUACUGUAAUAGUAUUGAUGGCUUACAGAGUUUAUCAAAAAGUAGAUGCCUUGAACAAUUCCACUGAGAGAUACUGCAUAGUUCAUGUACCAAUACAUUUGUAUAUAUCUUCUUUCUUAAUAUUCCUUUUUUUCCCCUGUUUAUACACAUCAAAAACCGCUUAAUAAACCAGUAGAAGAUAGAACUCUUAGAAAAUUUCAUUCAGACCCAAGAAUUCCAAUUGGACCGUUUAAUGCGGAAGGAUGGGAAUAAUUUACUGAUAUUUAAUAUGGACUGUUCCAUUCUCAUCUCAUUUGCUGUUUUAGAAGUCAAUGCAUUGUAUUUUUAAGUUUUAACUCUAAUUAGAGCUGCAUUUCAGUCAAAAUGGACAAGUCGAUAGAACAUCUUCUAGCAGAUUGGGAAUCUAUCAUUGUACGUCAGGUUAACUGGGUAUGUUUAUUUCCACCAGGAUGAGGUGAAAGAUUCACACAUGUAGUAGAUGGAGUUCCUACAUCAUGCUGAGAGGGGGGACAAGUGAUGAAUUAAAAGAGUUUCAGAUGCCAAAUAUUUUUAUGUUGCACGUUCGAUGAUAACUUUAAUCAUACUUUGACAUGUCCCAUGGUCAGAAGUUUCCAUCAAAGGAUUUAGGUGUUUUUUUCGGAAAUUUGAUUUUGUGAUUGUGGACUAGCCUAAUCCCUCCGCUUUUAUGUGCAGACUUGUAUAUCUGUUUCUUCUCCAUGGAAACAUCAUUAUUGUUUGUUUGAGGAAAGAUAAACAGACAUUGCUAACAUUAUUAACAAAAAAUUUUAAUUAAUGUACAAAAAGGUAGAUCUCCUUGAGUACGAAAUUCACCUCUUUUUUUGUCUGUUUUGUUACAGAGUACUGUUUCAUAUACAGAACAGUAGAAGGUUAAAGUCAUCAGAGAAGGUAAAGAAAAUCACAAAACAAUUUUCUGCCCUCAGUUUUGCUCAUAUAAAGAAUAUUUAGUUUCUUUAGCUGUACAGUAUUGUUCAAGGCUUUUAGACGAUAGUUUCGCUUAAUGAAAAUGAAGAGACCGGCAAAGUUUUUGUUCGCAAGAGAGAGAGAGGCAUGUUUCCUUGUAUAUCAAAUUUUGUUUCUUAUCUUCUUCAAGUUCAAACUGCAUAAGCCAUUUGGAUUGUAAUUCUAAAACAUACUGUCAUUUUGCUGUUUCCUAAUGUGUAUGUCUAAUCAGUCAUCGA
Molecule: RNA transcript, 5681 nt
Organism: Coffea eugenioides
Lineage: Eukaryota; Viridiplantae; Streptophyta; Magnoliopsida; Gentianales; Rubiaceae
Gene name: eIF-2-alpha kinase GCN2
Exons: 30
Source: RefSeq, a predicted model, not a curated record